RNAcentral lists this unclassified non-coding RNA (1360 nucleotides) under uncultured Neocallimastigales. RNAcentral's name for it is "partial contains small subunit ribosomal RNA, internal transcribed spacer 1, 5.8S ribosomal RNA, internal transcribed spacer 2, and large subunit ribosomal RNA". The stretch from base 629 to 1360 matches the Rfam family "Eukaryotic large subunit ribosomal RNA", at positions 1 to 618 of the family's 3401-position model. Lineage: Eukaryota; Fungi; Neocallimastigomycota; Neocallimastigomycetes; Neocallimastigales. The record is from RNAcentral.
UUCCGUAGGUGAACCUGCGGAAGGAUCAUUAAAAAAUAUCACUCGAUUGAGAGUGAUUAAUAUCAUCACCCUUGUGAAUUUGUUGUUUGAAUAAUUUUUUUUGAUUUUAAAAAAAAUUAUUUAUGUUUUGUCUAUCCCUAAAAUUGGUUUGUUGUGAAAGACAGUGAAUCAAUUUAGGAAUAGGCUUUCAUAAAUAAGUUUUUUUUUAAAGUCUUAAGACUUUUUUAAAAUUAACUUUGUAUUCAUUUGUCUAAAUUUUUUUAAAAUAUUUAAAAACAACUUUUGACAAUGGAUCUCUUGUUCUCGCAACGAUGAAGAACGCAGCAAAAUGCGAUAAGUAAUGUGAAUUGCAGAAUACGUGAAUCAUCAAAUCUUCGAACGCAUAUUGCACUUUUUAGUUACAAAAAGUAUGUCUGUUUGAGUAUCAGUAAAAUAUUCAUAAAAACUUUUUGUUUUUAUGGUUAUGAGUGUUUUACAACGAUAAACAGUUGUUUCACUUUAAUUCAUUUAAUUAAGACCAUUUUGGUUUUAAUAAAAAUUGGAUAAAAUUUUCCCGUAAAAAGGAAUAAACUUUCAGUUUUUAAUUAUUACCACAAACGGUCCGAUUAAAGGAAAUUUAUUUAAAUACUUAUCUCAAAUCAGAUAGAGUACCCGCUGAACUUAAGCAUAUCAUAAGCGGAGGAAAAGAAACUAACAAGAUUCCCUUAGUAACGGCGAGUGAAGCGGGAAGAGCUCAAUUUGAAAUCUUCAAGGUUCUACCUUGACGAAUUGUAGUUUAAAGAAGUGUUUUCUGUUAGAUGAGUAGCAAAGUUCUUGGAAUGGACAUCAUAGAGGGUGAGAAUCCCGUAUUUGGUUAUUCAUUCUAGCUUUGUGAUACACUUUCAAAGAGUCGGAUGUUUGGAAUACAGUCCAAAAAUGGUGGUAAAUUUCAUCUAAGCUAAUAUUGGCGAGAGACCGAUAGCGAACAAGUACGUGAGGAAAGAUGAAAGAACUUUGAAAGAGAGUUAAACAGUACGUGAAAUUGUCAAAAGGGAAGCGUUUGACACCAGUGUUGUUUUUCCAAAAUCAAUUACGAAUGGCUUGAUUUGUGUUGUAUUGACCUUAUCAGCUUUCUGCACUUUUUUCGAGUCUUUCUUAAUGCACUUUUGGUUAACAAGUCAACAUCAAUUUCUUUGUUGUAAAAGAGUAUUCGGAAGGUGGCUUUCUUUUCGGAGAAGUGUUUAUAGCCCUAUACUCUACAUCGGAGAGAUUGAGGCUGCAGCGUAGAUCCUUCGGGGUAGAUACACUUGUGCUAAAUUGUAGCUUUAUAGACAACUUGUGACUAUGUUUAGUCAUGCGGCUUACUCGCUUGAGCUAUUUU